UGGGGAAUAUUGGACAAUGGGGGAAACCCUGAUCCAGCGACGCCGCGUGGGUGAAGAAGGCCUGCGGGUUGUAAAGCCCUUUCGGUAGGGACGAAAACUCUUGAUCUAACAGGUCAGGAGCUUGACUUAACCUACAUAAGAAGCACCGGCUAACUCUGUGCCAGCAGCCGCGGUAAUACAGAGGGUGCGAGCGUUAAUCGGAAUUACUGGGCGUAAAGCGCACGUAGGCGGCUUUGUAAGUCGGUUGUGAAAUCCCCGGGCUCAACCUGGGAACUGCAUCCGAAACUACAUUGCUAGAGUAUGGGAGAGGGAGGCGGAAUUUCCGGUGUAGCAGUGAAAUGCGUAGAUAUCGGAAGGAACAUCAGUGGCGAAGGCGGCCUCCUGGACCAAUACUGACGCUCAGGUGCGAAAGCGUGGGGAGCAAACAGG
This 429-nucleotide ribosomal RNA is filed under the name uncultured bacterium. RNAcentral describes it as "bacterial SSU rRNA". It matches the Rfam family "Bacterial small subunit ribosomal RNA", at positions 355 to 776 of the family's 1533-position model. The record is from RNAcentral.